UUGGUCGGGCCGGCGCGGGAUCUGAGCUGCCGUCCAUGGAUUUCUCGCAGCUUGGCUGCGUUUCGCUUUGGAUCCGGUACGGUCCCCCGAUCUCUCUCUCUCUCUCUCUCUCAGACUCUCACACGACACGCGCGCGUAGAGUUCACACCAGUAAAUCCUAAACCGAAUCAGCCGGGCUCUCGUUGCCGCCUCAGUUCCCCAGCGCUGCUACGGUGCCGCCAGCCACCGCCAUUCCAUUUCCAUUGGCUUGGAUUCGGUUGUGGCGUCGGCUGGGAACCGUAGGAUGAUGUCUGAGGUUUGGUCGGUCGAGGCCAGGUAUGAGCAGCUCCUGAGAAGGAUGGAUGAGUGGACGCAUUAGGUGUCGUGAACUAAAACCACGACACUUGGUUUGGAACGGAGGGAGUAUAUUUUUAAACCAAAUCAGGGGAGCUCUCGUUGCCGGAUCGCUGACCUAUCGUCCGGAUGCCCGUCGCGUCAGUUCCCCACCGCUACAGUGCUGCCAGCCACCGUCGUCCCAUUGUCUUGGAUUCGGUUGUGCGUGUCGGCUGGGAACCAUACGGUGUUGUCUGAUGCGUCGUCGGACCGGAGAUUUGGUCGGUCGAGGCCAGGUAUGAGCGGCCCCUGAGCAGGAAGGAAGGAUGGAUGGAUCUAUGGAUAGAUGGAUGUAUGCAUGCAUAUAUGUAUGGAUAUCACUCCGCAAAAAAGAAAAGAAAAAAAUAUGUAUGGAUAUCAUGGUCAUGUUGCUCGGGAGUUCAACCUCCUUUUUGGAAAAAAAAGAGGGGCGAUGCCGAUGAUGAUGACUGUGGCUGAAUUUAUCAUGUCUUGAGCAAUCAAGACAGCUUGGCGAGGUGGGACUAAACAGUGCCAGAAAAUUGGUGUCUGCGUUGGAGUUGGCCUUAGAGCCCACCCUUGCCUCUCUUGCAGCCUGUCCAAUUCAUCGCCAAUGUUGGAUGUUCUUUGCCUUGGAUGGUCAUUCUGAUGAGUGAUAACCAGGGCAGUUCUCUUACAUGGCAAUGGGUGGAUUAUGCAGCAAGAGAUGUGAGUGUUGGGUUUGAAGAUGAAAUGCUAAACUGAGCCCUCUUUUGCUCAGUUCAGUUGCAUUUUGUUUUGGAUUCAGUAUGGGUCCUCCUCACCUCUCUCUCUCUCUCUCUCU
RNAcentral lists this long non-coding RNA (1153 nucleotides) under Triticum aestivum (bread wheat). RNAcentral's name for it is "long non-coding RNA (TAES_LNC016990)". Lineage: Eukaryota; Viridiplantae; Streptophyta; Magnoliopsida; Poales; Poaceae. The record is from RNAcentral.